RNAcentral lists this long non-coding RNA (10801 nucleotides) under Monomorium pharaonis (pharaoh ant). RNAcentral describes it as "uncharacterized LOC114254468, transcript variant X1". The record is from RNAcentral. Lineage: Eukaryota; Metazoa; Arthropoda; Insecta; Hymenoptera; Formicidae.
UCCAAUAUAUCUAUCUUGGAUGAUUAUCUAAUUUAAUUUAUUCUGACGAGUACACUUGAAUAUUAAAGUAAUUAAUGCUGAAGAAAUUAUACAUGGAAAACGCUAUGAGUGAUAUGUGAUAUAUUAAAUUUAAAAAAGCGUAUAAGAAGACAUUUAAAAAAUAUUUAUAUAAAUAUUUAUAUUUCAUGCAUAUAUCAGAAUCUCAUCUCAUAAAUUGUGUGUUACAACAAUCUUCGAAAAUCUUAUUUUCCUUUUUAUUUAAAAAAAAAAAACAUCUUUUUAUAACAGAUAAUUAUUAAAAUUUUAUAUCUACUUUAAUUUCGAAAGGAAUAAGAUUAAUGGCAUAAUUUUUAAAUGUAUUUCCUCAUACUAAUCGAAUUCUAAAUAGAAUGUUAAAAGAAAGUUAUUUUGACGUUAGGUAAACAAUGUUUAAUGUUGCAGUCACAUGUAGCUAAUAAUAUCUAAAUAUGAUUUUAACAUAAUUAUUAAUUUGGUCUAUUACAUCAAAAAUAUUCAUUGAUAGUGUGGCAAUACAUUUAAAACAAAUAUAUUUAAAAAAAGUUUACUUUACGAUGUUAUUAAUUUUAUUACGAAGUAAAGGCGAGCAUUUCAUUAUUAUUCUUUUUUAAUUUAUUAGGUCAGUAUUAAUUAUUUUGUUAGAUAACGAAAGAAUAUGCGGUUUUCAACUGGAGUUAGACAAAUUUAAUCCUGUGCGCGCGGAAGAAGUCUGUAGUAUGCGAAUUGAGAGCGGAGAUAACAGAGAAUAAGCUUAAUUUUCGUCGAGUUAUUAGAGCACGAGAAGAGAAAGAGGGGAAUUGAGUUAGUCGAGGGCGUAUGCCGCGAGGAUUAUUGUACGGCCUGUAAAAUCCGGACUGGGCCGCGCGAUCAAAUAUUUAGGAAGAAUUUUCCAGGCAUAUCAGACUGUAAGAAGAGGAGAAGAGAGAAAGAAAGAGACAGAAAGGGUAAGAACGAGAGCGUAUGUGUCCUGAAUGUACUUUAUAUAUAGCAGAGCUCCUUGUAGCUGCUCACUUCAAAAAGCCUGGGCAGCGAGUCCACGGAAAAGUCUGUGAAACUUUGAACAGCGUCUUAAAUACUUAACUCUCGCCCGCAUUGGUUCUAAACUUAGCAAUGGAAUUACCGUAACUCCUUCAGUUACAAAUAGUCCUCAUAUUUGAGGUCGUAAUAUCGUAACUUAUUGUGAUGAAUGCGGACAAUAAGCUUGGAAAUAUUAAUAUAAGUCGCUCAAAUAUUCUUAAUUGAUUUAUUCAAGGCUGUUGCUUUUGAAAGAUAAAAAGAUGCUUUUAUCCUUGAUUUUAACUUUAGUUAUUUGUUAGAACUUAUUUAAAAGACAAACUUUUUUAAUUUUUUGAUUUUACAAAUUCUACUUUUCGUUAGAUAGCAUAUUAAGUGACCUAAUAGCGAUGAAUAAUAAUAUCUUAAAAAUUUUGAUCGGUGAGUUUUAUAACUUUGAAGAAAACAAUAUUUUUUGAUCGAUUUCAUUGGUCAAUUUAUUAUUCUUUAUUUAUUUUUGAGCAGUAAAAAUUGUACAUACACAUACAGAUUUUUCUGAAAUAUAACCUAAGUAUAUAGAUAUUUGGUUUAUACUUUAUUUUUGCUAAACAUGUUAUGUUAAUUUGUUAUGUUAACACAGAAAGGAAGAUUUUUUAAAUUUAAUAAACCGUUUUGUUCGUCUGUUUCAAAGCAUUUAUUAAAAAACUAAAGAAAUAUGUCUUGAAAUAGUCGAACAAAACUGUUUAUUAAGUCUAAAGAAGUCUUCCUUUCUGUGUAUAUUUAAAUAUGCAAUCUAUAUUAUUAGAAAAUUAUUUGAUUAGUUUUUAUCCAACUAAAUUGUAAUUGGUAGCAUCGAGAAAAUGGGUCGCAAAUAAAUUUGUGGAAAAUUUCUACUAAAAUGAUCAGUUGCUGAUAGAUGAAUCACACUUGCGGCCAUUUUCUUUACUAAAACGAAAAUUUACGUUUAAUAGACGAAAGACGAUAGUAACGAAUAGGUUAAUUUCGGCGCUAAGUAAAAUAUUCACGUGGAAGAGAAUGUUUUAAUAUUACACAUAUAAUUGACCGCAACUGUAAAUGUCAGUUGUAAUGUUUCCUAUAGUACGAAAAGUGGAUUUACGAUGCCCGAAUUAAUUCAAAUUAUAAUUUACGUACGUUUCGAACUGUAUUAUGUUAAACAAUAUUGAUUGCUGCUUAAACGUUAAAUGAUUAAAUCAAUAUAUAGAAACGUUUAUUCAAAUGAUGAUAAUUCAGACCACACUGAAUCAAAGUAAACACAUUUUCCAAGCUUACGAUUACAUAAUGCUAUAGGUAUUAUUCACGUUAAUAAUUCUAAUCUUUCGAAACCAAUUAAUAAGUGAAUUUUAUUUUAUGAUUUUUAUUAAAGAACAUUUAGAGAGAGUCAACUUUUUCUCUAAAUUGCAAUUAGUGUAUUUUUACUGAUUUGCAGUGGUAUGUUUAUAAUUGUGAUAAUUAGUGAGUAUCCACUGAUUUUUAAUGAUUUUUACUUCAGAAUUAAUAUAUAAUCACUGAAAGAUUAGUGUAUUUAUUUAACUAAUUGACGAGUUAUAAGUAUAUCACUGAAAUCAGUGUAUUUUCACUGAUUGUAAUUUGGAGAGUUCUAUGUAACAGAGCACUAAUAGUUUCAUAUGUCCUAAACUUUAAUUUUAAUUUUUAUACAAAUAUGUUGAUAAAAAGAAGAUAAAAAUAAAUUUGUAUUCAUAAAACUAUGUUAGUAUGAUGCUAAUGAAGUUGGCCGAAUUACGUUUAAAACAGACCGUUGUAAAUAAUUAUCCAAAGAUUUGUUUUUAAAUUAAAUGACAAAUUUUGUCAGUGAUAUUAGGAAAAAUAAAGAGAGAGGAAGGAAAUCAAAUUAUUUAUGCUUUUCAGCUUCUAAUAUGUAUUAUGAUUAAUUUCUCGAUAUUUCAAAGUCAAUUUAAGCUUUUUAAAUACAUAAUUUUACGGAUAAACUAAUAGCAGUUUUCAAUGCAAUGCAUUUGUAUUGUUGCGACAAUGUUGCGAGAUGCAAACAAAUUUCAUACCAUGCCGUUCAUAUUUUCAUCUCGCUUUCAAAUCUCUGAUUCUGUCCUUUUCGAAUCUCAGAUUACAAUGGGGCAUCAGUUUGACAUGCACGCAUUUUUGACAGGAUAUAUGACGUCUGUCUAUUAAAUCCUCACCAGUCGAAUAUCUCCUCGUCACUUUUCGAUUACCGAAUCCGAGCGAUUUAAUACGCGAAUUUUGUCAGAGCCACCGGAUUAAUCUCGGAUUUCGUGUUUAGGCUACCAUAUGAGGGUGAAAGAGAGGAUCGAGUGGAUGGCUUUUAUGUAAAAUCGAGUGCUUCUAUGUCAAAUCUAAUGAAUGACAUUUAAUUCUUUUUGAAUUGCGAUUUGUUAGUUCAUGAAAUGAUAUAAAUUCAAUGAUAUUUUGACUAUGUAGAUAUUACAUUAUAUAUAAAAUAAUAAUAUCGAAUUAGGACGAAGUUUUUUGCAUAUAAUUAGAUCAAAAGUUAAAUGAAAAUUCUGAAAAACAAUUAAAUUGUAUGGCAAAGCUCUACAGAUUCUAUUAAACUCUGAUGCACAUUUGUACAUAUAUUUACGAAAUAAUUUUUGAUAAACAGUAAUUUAUUUUUACUUUGUACACAUAACAAUAUAAUUUUUGUAAAGAAAUUUGUAAGAAAUUAAAUUAAACUAAAAGCAAUUAAGUAUCAUAAUUAUCGUGGUGUAAUUACAUACGUGUUGUAGAUAGAUAAAUAAUUUUUGUUUGAGAAAACGCUUUAAGAAAAGUUAUUACAAUUUAAGGCUCAUACGUUUAAGGUUCACGUUUUAUAAUGAAAUAAUUAAUUACGGAGAUUAAUUAAUAAAAUAAUUCGUCUUUCAGAAUAAGCGAAUAACUGAUACGAUUAAACUUAACGAUUAGUAAACGAUGAUGAAGAUCUCUGAAAAUUGAAAUGGAUGUAGAACUUGAGAGAUCUUGUUGAAUAUUCAAGAAUCUUUGAUCAUUACACAUGUUAAACUCCUGAGUUUGGUUAUAAUAAAUUAAGCAAAUGUAUUAAGAGAAAGUUGCGGUGAAUGUUGAUGUAUGGCCGAACAUAUUGAACAGUUAAACCUACGUGACUAGAUAGACGCGGGUAUCGUCGCAUGUUAAUGAAAGCGUGUUCGUCAAUGUCCCAAUAGAACACGGGCAAAUGCGUAAGGUUCGAUUUCGACGAUUGACUAUCGGAAACGGAAACGGCGUUGUGAUUGCAUCCCGUUAGGAACGAUCGAAUUCAUUUCGUCUUAUCGACAACGUCAUUUAAAUGUUAUUCAUUAUUCAAGCUUCUGUUUGAAUUUUAUUACUUUCGGAAAGCCAAUAGUCGUUUCAAUCAAGUCAACGCUUCUUUCAACGUAUAAUGUCACGUCGUUCACAUUUCGGAUAUACAUAUAUGUACUCUUUAUUCGUAAAAAUUUAAACCAAAGUUUUAAAGUAUUUUCAAACAGUAUAUACAUAUUUACCUAUUUAAUUCCAUGACAUGACGCUGAUAUCGAUCGUUAAAUUAAGAACUAUCCGAAAGUUUUAUAUAUAAACUAUUCUUAUGUGUUUGAGCUUUUUAAAUAAAUUAAAUCAAAUUAUCUUAUUUUUAUCAACGUAGAUUAACUUUGAUUUCGGUUUAAUUCACUCUCUUUUAAAUUCUAAUAAUAAAGAAUAAACUGAAUUGAAAUUAAAGUUAAUUUACAUUUUGGAAAUGAACAUUAAAGAAAUAGAUGUACAAUUUGAAAAUAGUUUCCAUUAAAAUGAGAAUAAACCAGUGUAUUUUUUCCAUUUUAACGCAACUUCUUGAAUCAUUAAACGAAGUGAAUAUAAUAAGAGGUGAAAUUAUUUCUCUUCUGAAAUUACUAAUAUAAUUACAAUUGAAUUUUUUUAAGUCAAAGUUUAUUGCGUGUUAUUGAAAUUUUAUUUCGUUAAAAAAGUCAUCGCGCGAUUUGUUUUUUAUCUCAUCGAUUAAUACGGCCAUUUUUGUUACUUUAUCCGCACAACCACAGCGUAACGUCAUAUAUUUUCACAUUACACGAUAAAUUCUAAUCUACGUUAACCAGGCGUGUCUGGCACGUUACUGACUUCAUUACACUGUAAACAUUUGUUUCGCAUCACAUAUUAAUUAGACGCAGCUCCCUUGACGUUUUAUGUACAGCCGCAAAUUACGAUGCUAAGGAAGUUUCCCAAAUAAGCACAUUUUGCGGGUGAUAUAUCAAAAGCGCGUUUUCUGCUAAGAAUUUUACGACACGUCGACCAUCUGUGCACCUCUUUUUUAUGCAGCGACAAAAAACCGGUUGUAUCUUCUUUUACAACUUUUAUAAUAUAUAUGUAUAUUAAAUAACUUAUGUGUAAAAUACAAAAAAAAUAUUCGCACUGCAGAAACUAUAUUAAUGUAAAUAAAGUAUUAACAGGUAUGUCACAAAUGUUAUAAAAAAUUCAGUUUUGAAAUAAUCAGAAUAAACAGAAUAUAUCAAUUUUGAACGCCUCUAUCAACUAUAAAUAUCAUGCAAAGUUUAAUUGCAAAGCGACGCAUGAUAUUUUAUAUAAACGUUUUAUAUAAACAUUUAUAUAAACAUGUUUACGAUAACUCUGAAAUACAUUCCGUUUGACGAAAGUGUUAUCUAGCGCAAACUUAUAUUUAACUGUCGUAUAUUUCGUUUGAAAAUCUGUAAUGUCGAAUUUAGGUUUCAGAUAUAGUCGAGUAACAUUUUCCACAGUUACUAAAAUACCUGUAUACAGAGUUCGUGACAUACGUUUAUUUUUAAUAUUGUUAAAUAUUUUGUGUUAAUUUGCUGGAAUACUCGUGUCCACGUCAAAUGUGUCAUUUAUUUCUAUUUUACUUUUUUCGAAAAGCUAUUUCUUUUUUUUUUUUAUUAUACCCGGGACACUUUUCGAAAUAACAAGUUUAACGCGCGUGUCUCUUGCGCGGACCGAAGCUAUUACACGCCGCGUUUGGUGCUAAUUACAAACGACGAAGGGGGCGGGGCGCCUGCCCGCGUCGCCGUCGGAUGCUGCGCUCGCACUCCGCAUUCGUAAGCAACCGCGCGAUAACAAGUGCGCGAAAAUCGUUUCAAAGUGCGCGAGUACGCAGAAGACAAUAGCGGCAACGGUUGUCGAUCCUAUCUUAACCUCGUUCCCCGUAACCGGCGUAAAGGGCCGGUCAGAACUUUAGCGGCGGCAAAGUUGCCGGUCCCGCGGCCGGUUUACAAUUGUCCCUGUGAACGCGCGCGCUACAUGCAGCGGUUACAUCUACGCGCGGGCUGCUGCAGGUACAAUAUCGGGCCUUGCGGCACCGCACGUUGCGUUUGACACACCGCUUAUUAUCGGCCACAAGCGCAUAAUAAGCUCGUGGGCAAACUGUCCGGGCUUUACUUUCCGCCUGAGACGUAAGAUCCCGCGUGUGGUCCGUGAGACCACAUUGUGGAGAGUCAGAAACUGGUUUACACGAUUAUCGAUCUCUCUCUCCCGCGCGCCGCAUUAUGUGCAUUCGAUUAUGUAGAUUGUAGAGAGACGCGGCGAGGCGCGCGGGUUGUAAUCGAGUUCGUGACAAUUUCCCCGCUAAUAUUUUGCAUGCUAAUCUUUUUGUUUUCGCCAUCCCUUCGUUUCGCGGCGAUUGAUUUAUGUUACGCGCGUGAAGAUUUACACUGGACUUGUUUGAACUGCACGUUUACACGUAUGUAUAGCUUUCCCAAUAUGUGCACAAUAACGUGCGUUAUGAUUCAUUUACGUAUGUAAAAUUAUUUUUUUUUUGUCGACAAAUUUACCUAAUUAAAUAAAAAAAAAAUGUUAAAUCAAAUAAGUUGGAAUGUACGAAGCGUAUGUUGACUUCAAGUCCAUAGAAGAAAUUUACGUUUAAAUUUGUUGCAUUGUACCUGCUUCGUGCAUUUGUUAAUGCGACGUCCACAGGUAUAGUAAGGAAGUAAUUAAAUCUUUUCGAACGCACUUAAUGGAUACUCCUGUGUGAGCCAUGAGUUUCUUAUUACCUUUCCGAUAAUAAGUUAAUCCGUCUCAGCUUGAAAAUAGAUAGCACUCGACCGUAAUUAGGCAAUUAGAUGGUAAUUAGCGUAGCACUAAUCGUAAUUGCACCCGCAUUCUGUUCUGCUUCCAGGCUUCUCCUCCAGUCCGUAUGAACGGAAGGCACAUACGUACAUACUCCUGAAGAGCAGCGGCGGCUAAUAACAGAUCAACGUACCUCGCAACGUAAUUAACAACACCGCUGCGGCGCAUCGUAUCGAAUCAACACAUCGGUCAACGUAGCCGAUAACUCUGUUGGUGAUUCGCUUUAGUCGAAUAACAUUUAUUCUCGAGAACUCGGUUACUGAUCGAUUCAACAUACUGAUAACUGAACGUGUAAAUCACCGAUGAACGUGGUUCAUUGUGUCACGAAGUCUAACAUGGCGCGAGACCUCAGUACGUACCAUUAACAAAAAUGCAGGAGGACAGGCAAAAUGUAUACCUGAAGAGAAAAUGCAUUUUCAAAACAUAUAUCUGGAUGUCCGUUAAAACUAAAUCCACUAGACUUAAGAAAUGUAGGUAUUAAAAAAAGUUGAAAAAUACAACUUUUUUUUGUUCAUAUUAAAAUCAAUUUUUUUUUAUUUUUGUAAAGUUGGCGCUCUUGAAAAUGUAUUGCCAAGAGCAUUCAUAUCAAUAACGUAAAAUAACAGCAUUCAUAUCAGUAAUGUAAAAUAACAGUUAUUCAGUUUAUUAAAAUGGUAUGCAAGUAAAGAAACAUGCCAGAGAAUCUUAAAACAUCCAUACAGACCUUCGAUCGUUAUUUCCUUGAACAAAGAAACAUAUCUAUUUAUAACAAAAAUUAGUAAUAAAAUUAGUUCUAUGAACAAGAAAAGAAAUUCUUAUUAUCUUUUACGAACAUUUGUUCGCGAAUAAUUUACAAACUGUUAAUAAACAAUUUGCAAUUGGUUAUUAUUUUUUAUUUGUUUGAGUGCUGUUUACGAGUUUGUUACAAGUUCAUGAAGAGGUAAAACCGUUCUAAAAGCGGUAAGAUCAAAAGGAAUAAGAAAGCGAAAAGCUCAAAAGAAUAGCAUAUUUAGUUAAACUCAGUAGGAUACCAUAUAGGAACAUGCAUUAUUUAAACAGAUCAAGUAGUGCUUGCAAAAAACUCACUAAUAUCGCAAACUAUUAUUACUUACCCAUAGAUAUAUAUUUUUUUACAAAGAAUUAAAAUAAAUCUAGCCAAAUCCGAACUUUCUCUCAAUUUUUGUGAAUGUUUUGCAAUUACCGAUUAGGUAUCUUAUUUAGUCGUCGUUGUUGAUGACAUCAAAGGUGAUAAAUUCGUCCGAUAGCCGAUUGACCUUGCGCACGGUCAUUCAAUACUCUGUUAUUCACACGAGAAAAAUGGGGAAGAAAGGAAAAAUGGGAAGACUGAAGAAUGAGAGGAAUUGUAUAGAAAAAGAAUUUCCAAAGUACGGGACUCAUUAGUUGCGAGUCAAUUUUUUAAUCGCGAGAAAUUUUUGCAAUGAUAGGAAUUGAAAUUAAUAAAAAUUAUCAAACUUUUUAUACAAAAAGAAAUGAUUUGCAUUGACAUCAAAGCUGUCAUCAAUUUAAAUAAGAAAUAAGUACAUCCUUCAUAUCUUAUUAUGCAUUUGAGAAAAAUAAAUUUACAUAAAAACAGAUUUUUUAAAUUAUACUCUGAUAAUUAUGUAAUAACUUGUAAAUAUAUAUAUAAUAACAGAUUUUAUUAUAAUUAUAUAAUAAAAAAUUAAAAAAUAAGAAGAAUAAAGCAAUAUAAAUAGUCAAUUUAUUUUUCUUUUUUUUCUCUCGCUUUUUCAUGUCUCUUAAAAUUAAAUAGGCGUCGUUAUUUACUGCUUAUAAAAUAAGUUAUAGCCUAUAUUUGAGAAAGGUAAGUAUAGAGGCGGAACCAGAAAAGGAUUGACGUUGAAAAGAAGUUGAGAAGAAAAGAAGAAGAGUUCGGGAAAACGCGCAUAUGUUCGUACAAACUGACUUGCAGACUAUUACAGAUGUAGUAAACCGCCUGUUCUCUUUUUUCUUCUUGUCUGCCUUUGUUCACUAUUUUCCAUCCGAGUGCCAACCGCAGUUCUACUCAUUGCUAUCAGAAAGCACAUAGCGGAGCGAGUAUGGAUUAAUGAAUGAAAGGAAUCACAAUCUCCGUACAGAAUGCCUACUACGUCGAGUGAAGUAGCACGAAAGAAGGAUUCGAGAAGAAAACCGAUGCGAAGAAAUGGUUGGAUAAGAAGCGACUCGCCAGAGAUAACGAGCAAAAGCUGAUAAAUUUUUUAUGCAAUGUUGAAGGGGAUGGAGAUGAAUCUUUCAUGCAAAAUUGUCGCUCUCUAUAAGGGAAAGGACGCUUCUCUUCGUUCGAUGUUCUUCGAGCAUGUUGGAUGUUAAAGGAUUUAUUGUAAAGGACUGCAUAUCGAGAAAAAUUUGGACUUAUAUCAGGAAAUUCACAAUACCUGAAAAAAAUUGAGUUGAUUUUAUUAUAUUUUCUGGCACUUUCUAAAAAAAAUUAUAGGAGCAUGUAUUAACUUUCGUUUCUUAUUCACCAUUUGAAAUAAUGCUAUUAUAAUGCUACAAAAGAGAAAAAUAUGAAAAGAAAACUUUCUUUAAUACAUUUCCAGGAACUUUUAAAGCUUGUAUUGUACGUAAUGUAUAAAGUACUUUCCAUAUUCUUAGAGACAUUUUUGAAUAUAAUUAAUUAUUAUUUUAUUACUAAAAUAAUAAAUAAUACUGCUAGCAAUAAUAUAUACAUUUUUAAAAUUUAAGCAAAAUUAAGCAACGUUUAUUUUAAGCUAAAUGUAUUGUUAACAAUCCUGACAAAUAUUUUUUAUGCAAUCUUUUAUAUUUAAAAGAGAUAUUAUUUUACGAACAAAGAGUGCAUCUGGCAACAACGUUGCGGUCUAGAACAACGUUGCAGAUUUUAACCUAAAUGUAUUGCCAGUUUCUAUAUAAAAUCAUUGUUUUUAAAAAUGAUUAUUAUUUAUCAUUUUUUAAAACACAAUAAAGUAUUAAGAAUUUAAAACACAAUAAAGUAAUAAAUGGAACGAGUCGAACAAUUCUUAUUUCUACACCGAUAGGGAUAUUAAUGCUACAAAGAUUAUUAAAUAACGCGAGAUAACGCAUCUCUUGUGUAAUAAACAGGUGAAUAAAAGUCACAUUCCGUUGGAAUUAGGUCGCGAUGUCGUGACAGUUUUACGAUUUUUAAAAUUCAGAUCAGUUUUCAGAGUUCUCGUAUUUCAAUCGAAUGACUGUCAUCUUUAGAGGUAAAGUAUCGAGAUGCUUCCGAAUCGUAUCAUUCGUGUACAAAUUAUCGAGGAUUUAUCUCAAAUAUUAUUUCCUUCCGCACGUGUUCUAUCAUUGUUUAAAUAGACCUUUCAACCUAUGUCACUUUUACAACUUGAUUAUUGAAUCAAUAUUUGAAACCUCGCAAAAUAACGACAUGAUAUGAAUAUGCGAUAUUGAUACAAAUUUAAAGUGUAAUCUUUGUAGACAUUACAACAGGAAUCUUUCAAAGAUUUUCGAGUUUUUAUCAGUUAUUUAUCGAAAAUAAUCCUUGAAAAUUUUAUGUAAGAAAUAUAUACAUUUGUAUAUAAAUAAAAUAUGAUAUAUAUAAAAUAAAUAUAAUAAUAUAAUAUAAUAUAUAAUAUGUAUAAUAAUAUAUAAAUACAAUUUUAUUAUUUGUAUAAAUACAAACUAUAACAUAAUUUAUACGUAGCUAUUUUCCACAAAGCUUAAUUAAAGAAUUAAAAUUAGCUCUGCGACUACGUCAUUGUUUAACUUUGUAUAUAACUCAAAAUGUGUGCAG